AGCCGCGGUAAUUCCAGCUCCAAUAGCGUAUAUUAAAGUUGUUGCAGUUAAAAGCUCGUAGUUGAAUUUCGGGGUCAGUAGAUUGGUCAUGCCUCCGGUAUGUACUGGUCUUACUGGCUCCUCCUUCCUGAUGAACCGUAAUGCCAUUAAUUUGGUGUUGCGGGGAGACUGGACUGUUACUUUGAAAAAAUUAGAGUGUUUAAAGCAGGCUAACGCUUGAAUACAUUAGCAUGGAAUAAUGAAAUAGGACGUUCGAUCUUAUUUUGUUGGUUUCUAAGAUUGACGUAAUGAUUAAUAGGGAUAGUUGGGGGCAUUAGUAUUCAAUUGUCAGAGGUGAAAUUCUUGGAUUUAUUGAAGACUAACUACUGCGAAAGCAUUUGCCAAGGAUGUUUUCAUUAAUCAAGAACGAAAGUUAGGGGGAUCGAAGACGAUCAGAUACCGUCGUAGUCUUAACCAUAAACUAUGCCGACUAGGGAUCGGAUGAUGUUAAUUUUUUUAAUGACUCAUUCGGCGCCUUACG
RNAcentral lists this ribosomal RNA (520 nucleotides) under uncultured Glomus. RNAcentral describes it as "SSU rRNA". It matches the Rfam family "Eukaryotic small subunit ribosomal RNA", at positions 572 to 1092 of the family's 1831-position model. The record is from RNAcentral. Lineage: Eukaryota; Fungi; Glomeromycota; Glomeromycetes; Glomerales; Glomeraceae.